GGGGGCGCACUUCCUGUGUUCUGGGCUGGCCUUUUCCUCGCCCAGGUGCUCUUCCCUGCUUGAUCUGUGUACCCUGCUCUUUCUCCUUCAUUCCGCAGCCUCCUUUGCCCUGUGACCUGCAGGUACUGGACGGUCCCUAGAGAGGAUACCGGGACGCUCCUGAAGCCGCGAGAUGAGCCACCAUCACUCAUGUUCUUGAAUGGGAACUGCCUGGAGACCCUGAAGAAGAAGGAGCCUGAAGGAGGAAGGAGGAGGCUGAGCCAUCCCGGGAACAUGGGCUGGAUGAGGCCAAGCCAGGAGAUGACACCACCAAAUAGAAGUCACCAUUCAGGAUUUGGACUUUUCUGUGGAGAUCCUGGCCCCGAGAUCGAACCCUUCUCCCUGUAGGUGUUCCCGCAGGAGAUGGUGCUGGAGAUCCACCAGCUGUUCAUGGACCAUGAAUACCCAUGUCACCACAUCACUUCUCACUGCACCUGGGUGGCAGCACACUGGACCACGUCUCAGAGCUGCGCAGCAUGGCAGGGCUGCAGGCGGGCUUGCUGCUCCACGUGGUGGAAGGUUGGUCCGGAAGUUGGGCAGCCUGCCCAGGGAGGGCCCCUGUAAGCAGGGCCAGGCAACACUGCACUGCCCCAGCUGGUGUCUCUAUUUUGCAGACGAGCAUAUGGAGGUGGGAUUGGAGCACAAGUCUGCUUUUCAGGGUAUCAUACCUGCACUCUCUAACUUCAUGGCCCAGGGGUGAAAAAACAGUUGAAAUUCUGAAAAGAAAGUCAGGCAGUAUGAAGCUAGGGCUUGGAAUCCGCCCUAUUAAAUUAUGAAAAGAUGAGUGCUUAGUUUCCUAAAGAAACUAAAGUUUCACAGUCCUUGAGUGGGGAAGUCGGCUCCAAGCAGCACCAUCAGCUGGUGUAGUGAGCCUGGCUUGGUUGUCAAAUAAAAGCUUCCGUAGACUCAAGUUCUCUGGGCGAAGCACUCAGGUUCCCAGGGCCUGACUACUUACUGAGAGCAAUUGUGGAAAAGGUCUGUAGCUCAAGGGGGCCCACAGUUCAUCACAAUUUCUCCCUUCCUCCAAAACAAUGACCAUUAAAAUCCCAUGAAACUCAAUGGGGGCGUUAAAUUUGGCAGCCCUAGAAAGUUGUCAGGCCACCCCUGCAUGAAGGCUGCCCCAGGAGAGCAGGGUGGCCUCACCCUGCUCUGCAGCCUUGCAGAGGCCCCGCAGCGCUGAAGGCCCUGCUCACCCGAGACACUAGCGCACAAAAAGCAGGAGGCCUUUUGUGGGCUCCCCAAGGCCUAUGUGUGCUUCAGAAGCAACUGGCAGGAGGUUCUUUGCAAUCAAGGAUUCUUGCCCUUAGCAAGCCAGGGUGUGUUGUGUGUGUGUUUGUGUGUGUGUGUAGAUGCGCGUGUGCACACGUGUGUAUUGAAACCAAACUCUAGCCUAUGUGUCCAUAGUGGAAUUUGAAAAUGGAAGCCUAAAGUUGAAAAUUAAAAUUAUCCAUGAAGUUUC
Pan troglodytes (chimpanzee) is the source of this 1498-nucleotide long non-coding RNA. RefSeq lists it as uncharacterized. NCBI's taxonomy places the organism in Eukaryota, Metazoa, Chordata, Mammalia, Primates, Hominidae. The record is from RefSeq and is a predicted model, not a curated record. The transcript has 3 exons.